GCCUGGGUGGCUCAGUCAGUUGGGCAUCUGACUUCAGCUCAGGUCAUGAUCCCACAGUCCGUGAGUUCGAGCCCCGUGUCAGGCU
Felis catus (domestic cat) is the source of this 85-nucleotide non-coding RNA. Lineage: Eukaryota; Metazoa; Chordata; Mammalia; Carnivora; Felidae. The record is from Rfam.